Molecule: ribosomal RNA, 497 nt
Filed under: uncultured bacterium
Lineage: Bacteria
Description: partial 16S ribosomal RNA
Rfam family: Bacterial small subunit ribosomal RNA
Source: RNAcentral
GAUGAACGCUGGCGGCGUGCCUAAUACAUGCGAGUCGAGCGAACAGAUGAGGAGCUUGCUCCUCUGACGUUAGCGGCGGACGGGUGAGUAACACGUGGAUAACCUACCUAUAAGACUGGGAUAACUUCGGGAAACCGGAGCUAAUACCGGAUAAUAUAUUGAACCGCAUGGUUCAAUAGUGAAAGACUGUUUUGCUGUCACUUAUAGAUGGAUCCGCGCCGCAUUAGCUAGUUGGUAAGGUAACGGCUUACCAAGGCAACGAUGCGUAGCCGACCUGAGAGGGUGAUCGGCCACACUGGAACUGAGACACGGUCCAGACUCCUACGGGAGGCAGCAGUAGGGAAUCUUCCGCAAUGGGCGAAAGCCUGACGGAGCAACGCCGCGUGAGUGAUGAAGGUCUUCGGAUCGUAAAACUCUGUUAUUAGGGAAGAACAAAUGUGUAAGUAACUAUGCACGUCUUGACGGUACCUAAUCAGAAAGCCACGGCUAACUACGUG